Molecule: ribosomal RNA, 457 nt
Filed under: uncultured bacterium
Lineage: Bacteria
Description: bacterial SSU rRNA
Rfam family: Bacterial small subunit ribosomal RNA
Source: RNAcentral
UACGGGAGGCAGCAGUGGGGAAUAUUGCACAAUGGGCGAAAGCCUGAUGCAGCUAUGCCGCGUGUAUGAAGAAGGCCUUAGGGUUGUAAAGUACUUUCAUCGGGGAGGAAAAAACAAAACUAAUAAUUUUAUUUCUUGACGUUACCCGAAAAAGAAGCACCGGCUAACUCCGUGCCAGCAGCCGCGGUAAUACGGAGGGUGCUAGCGUUAAUCAGAAUUACUGGGCGUAAAGAGCACGUAGGUGGUUUUUUUAAGUCAGAUGUGAAAUCCCUGGGCUUAACCUAGGAACUGCAUUUUGAAACUGAAAUACUAGAGUAUCGUAGAGGGAGGUAGAAUUCUAGGUGUAGCGGUGAAAUGCGUAGAUAUCUGGAGGAAUACCUGUGGCGAAAGCGGCCUCCUAAACGAAUACUGACACUGAGGGUGCGAAAGCGUGGGGAGCAAACGAGGAUUAGAUACC